RNAcentral lists this ribosomal RNA (245 nucleotides) under uncultured bacterium. Its description in RNAcentral is "partial 16S ribosomal RNA". It matches the Rfam family "Bacterial small subunit ribosomal RNA", at positions 524 to 767 of the family's 1533-position model. The record is from RNAcentral.
UACGUAGGGGGCGAGCGUUGUCCGAAGUUACUGGGCGUAAAGCGCGCGUAGGCGGGGGAUUAAGUGAGAGGUGAAAGGCUCAGGCUCAACCUGAUGCAGGGCCUCUCAUACUGGUUCUCUUGAGGGCGGCAGGGAGAAGUGGAAUGGCUGGUGUAGCGGUGAAAUGCGUAGAUAUCAGUCGGAACACCCGUAGCGAAGGCGGCUUCUUGGGCCGUACCUGACGCUGAGGCGCGAAAGCCAGGGGA